AAAAAAAAAAAAAAAUCCUUUUCUCUUUCCUAGUAAAGACAUCCAGGCCUGUCUGCCACUUACUAGCUUGGUGAAUGCCUUUGCUGAUGAGUCCAAAUAUAUUGCUGUGCCUUUGCUGUCUUUUCUGUUUUCUAAAUGCCAGUGUGGAAUGUAAGAUAAGAGUGGAAUUAGAGAAAACUGAAAUGAAUUUUGAUCCUUUAUUAUAAGCAGACCCUACUUCUCUAAAUUUUGUGCCUAAGGAAAAAUUUAUAGGUUGUUCCCAUAAGGAGUAGAAAAAGGGUAGGGGUGGGAAGACAGAACCCUCUCUCCCAACUCCACUAAAGAUAGCAAAAAGAUUUUAGUAAGGUAACUUAAUUUCCCAGUUUCCUACAUAUGUUUUGAAUAAGGGGGACUUAGUGCCCAAUUCAUCAUUUUAAUUUAAAAGCUAUUUCAGAUGACUCUUGACAGCUGGUCUUUCUCUUCUUUUUAGUUGUUUUGCAGCCAGGUCCAUCAUUUGGAAAUCAGGAAGGCUUGUGUCUCAUAUAUGAGAGAAAAUCAACAAACUUUUGAGUCUUAUGUGGAGGGAUCUUUUGAGAAAUACCUGGAACGGUUGGGAGAUCCCAAGGUAAGAUCAAAUACGGGGUUUAAUCUUUUCAGAGUAUUUGGAAUAGUAAACCUAAAUAUUCAUUCAGCUGUGUCGCUUUAGCUAGACGCAACCUAUUUUCUUAAGUAGCCAGCUGUGUUGAAUCAAAUAGUUCUUGCAAAAGUUUAGAGGCUGGCAAUUGACCUAUUGUUUUGUGUUGAAAUGUUGAGAAUUAUGUGUCAAUGAUUUUAUCAUCCGUAGACUGUUUGCAAUGCAAACAGGACAAGCCUAAGCCUUUUCACUUUAAUGGGGGAGGAGGGAUAGUAAUGAAUGUUACUAGGAGGUCAUUAUUUUUUUAUUCAAAAAUUCCCCUGAUUUGUAGUUAUCCUUUUAUGUAGAAGUAAGCUCCAUAAACGCAUAUUUAAUUAAAAAUAAUUUAUAUGAUUAAUUCCAUAGUUCUGGACUUAGUAUUUACUAAGUACCCUGCUAAUUUCAUAUUUUUAACAUUAAUUCCAUUUUUAUUGUGCCUUUUAAAUCCCUCAUGUUAACUGUCCUUGUUAUUUAAUAGCUAACUGAGAAGGUCUUUAGAACUAUUUUUUCCAAAUAAGUUUAUGUUAAUGAGUAACACAGUAGCCCAAACCUCAAAGCAAGUUAUAGUGUGUUCUACAAAUUCUUCAUCUAAAACAGUGCUAAGCAUCUAAACUAACAGUGUUGAACUUGCAGAAACUUUUACAUCCUAGCUACAGAAUGUUUUUAAAAAGUGUAUGUACUAUUUAUGUUUAGGAAAGUGCUGGCCAGCUGGAAAUAAGAGCUCUUUCUCUAAUUUAUAAGUAAGUUAAAUCUUUUUUUAAAGACUGAGUGUGUAUGUGUGAUUGUGUGUAAAGUUUCUAUUCACGUCUCUUUGGGAUUUGGGAAAUUUGGAUUUAAUGUAAUGAUAUGUAGAAAGAAGAGGUCUAAGCACAAUUAAUUGGUGUUAAUUUUUAGGUGGAG
This 1552-nucleotide long non-coding RNA is filed under the name Ursus americanus (American black bear). RNAcentral's name for it is "lncRNA (ENSUAMG00000020648.1)". Lineage: Eukaryota; Metazoa; Chordata; Mammalia; Carnivora; Ursidae. The record is from RNAcentral.